GCCUUCGUGGUGUAGUGGUCAGCACGUUCGAGCUUAAAGAGAGGUCCGUGGUUCGAUUCCCGGUGAAGGCG
Molecule: transfer RNA, 71 nt
Filed under: Stegodyphus mimosarum
Lineage: Eukaryota; Metazoa; Arthropoda; Arachnida; Araneae; Eresidae
Rfam family: tRNA
About the family: Transfer RNA (tRNA) molecules are approximately 80 nucleotides in length.
Source: Rfam by way of RNAcentral